RNAcentral lists this ribosomal RNA (1386 nucleotides) under Fragilidium mexicanum. Its description in RNAcentral is "partial large subunit ribosomal RNA". It matches the Rfam family "Eukaryotic large subunit ribosomal RNA", at positions 23 to 1372 of the family's 3401-position model. The record is from RNAcentral. Lineage: Eukaryota; Dinophyceae; Gonyaulacales; Pyrophacaceae.
ACCCGCUGAAUUUAAGCAUAUAGGUAGGCGGAAGAAUUUAAGCCAAAUGGUAUCUCUAAAGUAAUUGCGAAUGAAUUAGAAUUUGUUCAAUUUGACAAGUGGGGCCUUAAGCCUUGACAUGUAAUGUAAAGCUGUUUUGCCAAUGGGGCAUUGAAUGUGCGCUUUUUGGAAAAGAGCAGCCAUAAGGGUGAUACUCCUUUCUGCCAUUCAUUUGUUUUUGUGUACUGCAUACAUGUGUGGAUUCACACUUUUUGGGAAUGAAGUGCAAAGAGGGUGGUAAGUUUCAUUGAAAAAUUAAUAAAAGCCGGAGACUGAUAGCGCACAAGUACCUUGAGGGAAAAAUGAAAAGGACUUUGAAAAGAAAGUUAAAAUAGCUUCAACUUGCUGAAUGGAAAGCAAACAGACAUCAUAUAUGAUUGAAAGAUUGUCAUUGUGUUGUGUUUCUCAUGUUCCCAUUUGUGUUAUAGUAAUGCGGUGAUGCAUCUUUUUGUAUUGCUAACCUUAACUCAUGAACUUACAUUGCUUGGUUAUGAGUAUUGCCUGAUGGUACAACAUUGUAACCCAUGACAACUCGUGUAUAUGUUGCAUUGUUCAUUUGUUGCUUGAUUGCAUGAAUUGGCAAACACCACUGGUCAAUGCGAUGAAACACAAAACUGUUGUUGGCAUUAUCUAUCUGUUUGGCCCGUCUUGAAACACGUACCAAGGAGCCUAACAGGUGUGCGAGUGAUUUGGGGCACAUUAUUUGUUAAAUAAAUGUAUAAGCUUGUAUAUUUGCGCAAGCAGCCAACUAACUUAUUGUAAUAGGUUUGAGCUUAAGCAUUGCUGUUAAGACCCGAAAGAUGGUGAACUAUAUUUGAAAAGGGCAAGGUCAGGGGAAACUCUGGUGGAGGCGCAUAGCGAUACUGACGUGCAAAUCGUUCGUUGUACUUGGGUAUAUGGGGCGAAAGAUUCAUCGAACCAUCUAGUAGCUGGUUCCGUCCGAAGUUUCCCUCAGGAUAGCUGGAUGUGUAAAAGUUUUAUCAGGUAAAGCGAAUGAUUAGAGGAAUUGGGGGUGUGCUAUCUUUGACCUAUGCUCAAACUUUAAAUGGGUAUGGUGCAAUGUUUUCUUCGGUGAUUGUUGUGGCAAAAUAAACAUUCCAAGUGGGCCAUUUUUGGUAAGCAGAACUGGCGAUGAGGGAUGAACCUAACAUUGGGUUAAUGUGCUUAGCUACUUGCUUAUAUGAUACCAUAAAGGGUGUUGUUUCAUUUGAACAGCUGGACGGUGGUAAUGGAAGUUGAAAGCCGCUAAGGAGUGUGUAACAACUCACCUGCCGAAUGGACUAGCCCCGAAAAUGGAUGGCGCUAAAGCAGGUGACUGAUACCCAAUCAGUGAUGUUAGUUUCAAAC